This 433-nucleotide ribosomal RNA is filed under the name uncultured bacterium. Its description in RNAcentral is "partial 16S ribosomal RNA". It matches the Rfam family "Bacterial small subunit ribosomal RNA", at positions 29 to 507 of the family's 1533-position model. The record is from RNAcentral.
AACGAACGCUGGCGGCAUGCCUAACACAUGCAAGUCGAACGAGACCUUCGGGUCUAGUGGCGCACGGGUACGUAACGCGUGGGAACCUGCCCUUAGGUUCGGAAUAACUCCCCGAAAGGGGUGCUAAUACCGGAUAAUGUCUUCGGACCAAAGAUUUAUCGCCUUUGGAUGGGCCCGCGUUGGAUUAGCUAGUUGGUAGGGUAAAAGCCUACCAAGGCGACGAUCCAUAGCUGGUCUGAGAGGAUGAUCAGCCACACUGGGACUGAGACACGGCCCAGACUCCGACGGGAGGCAGCAGUGGGGAAUAUUGGACAAUGGGCGAAAGCCUGAUCCAGCAAUGCCGCGUGAGGGAUGAAGGCCUUAGGGUUGUAAAGCUCUUUUACCCGGGAUGAUAAUGACAGUACCGGGAGAAUAAGCGCCGGCUAACUCCGUG